This 253-nucleotide ribosomal RNA is filed under the name uncultured bacterium. RNAcentral describes it as "partial 16S ribosomal RNA". It matches the Rfam family "Bacterial small subunit ribosomal RNA", at positions 57 to 305 of the family's 1533-position model. The record is from RNAcentral.
GCAAGUCGUGCGCGAAAGCCUUCGGGCGAGUAAAGCGGCGAACGGGUGAGUAACACGUAACCAACCUACCCUUCAGACCGGGAUAACCGCGGGAAACUGCGGGUAAUACCGGAUGGUCCCAUUGGGAGGCAUCUCUUGAUGGGUAAAUGGCGGCUUCGGCUGCUGCUGGGGGAGGGGGUUGCGGCCUAUCAGCUUGUUGGUGGGGUAAUGGCCUACCAAGGCAAUGACGGGUAGCCGGUCUGAGAGGAUGGUC